UUUAUUUUCAUUAUUUUUAUUUUCUGAAAACCAUUUGUAAUUUAAAAUUAAAUAAAAAGUUGUAAUCACUAAAUUAGGCAACGAGAGAGUACCUGUGCUUGAAAUAAGCUCAAGAAAACAGAAAUAAAUAAGACGAAAAAUUAAAUGUAUCUAGGAGAGUGGAAUGCAAUUACUAAUGAAAUUACUCACCCAAAUUGAAACCAAGAGUACUAAUGAGAGCACAGUUG
Molecule: unclassified non-coding RNA, 227 nt
Filed under: Hevea brasiliensis (rubber tree)
Lineage: Eukaryota; Viridiplantae; Streptophyta; Magnoliopsida; Malpighiales; Euphorbiaceae
Source: RNAcentral